UCCAUAGCUGGUCUGAGAGGAUGAUCAGCCACACUGGGACUGAGACACGGCCCAGACUCCUACGGGAGGCAGCAGUGGGGAAUAUUGGACAAUGGGCGGAAGCCUGAUCCAGCAAUACCGCGUGUGUGAAGAAGGCCUGAGGGUUGUAAAGCACUUUCAGUGGGGAGGAAAAAGCGUAGGCGAAUACCCUGCGUAUUGACAUUACCCAUAGAAGAAGCACCGGCUAACUCCGUGCCAGCAGCCGCGGUAAUACGGAGGGUGCGAGCGUUAAUCGGAAUUACUGGGCGUAAAGCGUGCGUAGGCGGCCUGUUAAGUCAGAUGUGAAAGCCCUGGGCUCAACCUGGGAACGGCAUUUGAAACUGGCAGGCUAGAGUUGGGUAGAGGGGAGUGGAAUUUCAGGUGUAGCGGUGAAAUGCGUAGAUAUCUGAAGGAACACCAGUGGCGAAGGCGGCUCCCUGGACCCAAACUGACGCUGAGGUACGAAAGCGUGGGUAGCAAACAGGAUUAGAUACCCUGGUAGUCCACGCCGUAAACGAUGUCGACUAGCCGUUGGGCCCUUAUGGGGCUUAGUGGCGCAGCUAACGCAUUAAGUCGAC
Molecule: ribosomal RNA, 596 nt
Filed under: uncultured bacterium
Lineage: Bacteria
Description: bacterial SSU rRNA
Rfam family: Bacterial small subunit ribosomal RNA
Source: RNAcentral